UGGGGGAUAUUGCGGCAAUGGAGGAAACUCUGACGCAGUGACGCCGCGUAUAGGAAGAAGGUUUUUCGGAUUGUAAACUAUUGUCGAUAGGGAAGAAAAAAGACAGUACCUAUCAAGAAGGCUCCGGCUAACUACGUGCCAGCAGCCGCGGUAAUACGUAGGGAGCAAGCGUUGUCCGGAUUUAUUGGGUGUAAAGGGUGCGUAGACGGGAAGUUAAGUUAGUUGUGAAAUCCCUCGGCUCAAACUGAGGAACUGCAACUAAAACUGAUUUUCUUGAGUGCAGGAGAGGAAAGUGGAAUUCCUAGUGUAGCGGUGAAAUGCGUAGAUAUUAGGAGGAACACCAGUGGCGAAGGCGACUUUCUGGACUGUAACUGACGUUGAGGCACGAAAGUGUGGGGAGCAAACAGGGA
RNAcentral lists this ribosomal RNA (410 nucleotides) under uncultured Acetivibrio sp. Its description in RNAcentral is "bacterial SSU rRNA". It matches the Rfam family "Bacterial small subunit ribosomal RNA", at positions 355 to 778 of the family's 1533-position model. Lineage: Bacteria; Bacillati; Bacillota; Clostridia; Acetivibrionales; Acetivibrionaceae. The record is from RNAcentral.